RNAcentral lists this ribosomal RNA (254 nucleotides) under uncultured bacterium. RNAcentral describes it as "partial 16S ribosomal RNA". It matches the Rfam family "Bacterial small subunit ribosomal RNA", at positions 524 to 776 of the family's 1533-position model. The record is from RNAcentral.
UACAGAGGGUGCAAACGUUGUUCGGAAUUACUGGGCGUAAAGCGUGUGUAGGCGGUUUUGUAAGUCGGGCGUGAAAGCCCCGGGCUCAACCCGGGAAGUGCACUCGAUACUGCGGAACUUUGAGUUUCGGAGAGGUUGGUAGAAUUCUUGGUGUAGAGGUGAAAUUCGUAGAUAUCAAGAGGAAUACCGGUGGCGAAGGCGGCCAACUGGACGAAAACUGACGCUGAGACACGAAAGCAUGGGGAGCAAACAGG